UAUAAUGUAGUGGACGGGACGCUUCUUCAACAUCUGUCAGCCACCUCGGUAGCUUCCUAACGGAAACGUUCAAGCUGUUCAGACUGAUUCGGUCUAUAUUUACUUCUGUAUUUGGAACAUAAUUCUGUCUUUUAACUAGUUUCCCCAUUUCAUGUCAUAUUUCCGUUUAGUCAGGUAACGGUAGCUGGCUUGAUAAAUGAGCCUAUCACUAGGCUAGUCGCUAACUAGCUAGGUUAGCUGGCUAACAUCCCCGACCAUGAGCUCAGCAAGCUGCUGCCCUCCUGCUAAAAAAGAGGUCUGCUGGAAGGAGAAAGAAGGUAUUUGGCUGAACGUUGUCGUGAAAGAGGAGAAUGAAGAGGAGGAUGUCACAGUAAAUGAAGAAGUAGAGGGUGAGGCUGUUACACAGAAAGAAGAGGAAGAAAACGAUUAUACUUUUUUUGGAGUGAAUGAAGGAGAGAUAACUGUCAUAUUGAAGGAGGAGGAGAGGGAAGAAGAGGAGGAGACAGAAGAUCUGAGUAACACCAGAGAGAGACCAGACUCUCCUUCUGACAGCAGGAAGAGUCCUUCAGGGAAACCAGACCCCGAGAUGUCCAAACCAGCAGGACGACAUCACUGCUCCCAGUGUGGAAAGAGUUUUACUCAGUUAGGGAGCCUGAGAACACAUAAGAGAAUACACACUGGAGAGAAGCCUUACCACUGUUCCCAAUGUGGAAUGUCGUUUACCCAGUUAGGGAGCCUGGAAACGCAUGAGAGGGGACACACAAGGGAAAAGCUUUUCCAAUGUUCCCAUUGUGGAAAGAGUUUUGGCCAGGUAGGAAACCUGAACAAGCAUGAGAGGACACACACAGGUAAGAAGAUGUACCGCUGCUCCCAGUGUGGAGAGAGAUUUACCCGGUUAAGGUACCUGAAAGAGCAUGAAGGAAUACAUACAAAUACACAGGAGGAGAAGACAUACCACUGCUCUCAUUAUGGAAAGACAUUUUCCCAGUCAGAGAACCUGAAAACACAUGAGAGAAUCGAGAAGCUGUGUUCUGACUUGUGUUUCUGACUGAGAAUGUGUGUGUUUGUUUGGGCUGUCAGACUUGAGUUCACUUUGUGUAAUGUUAGUGCACUAUUUUUCAUUGUGAUUAAUCCAUUGUCUGAAAGGGUUGAAAACACACUGACAACAUCCAGAAUACAUCCUAUAUACAGCUAAAAUCUACAAUGCCAUGUAAACACAAGAUGACAUUGAGGUUAAAUAAAGUGUGAUUUAUCAAUGGAACAUAUUUUGACACGUCCACUGUGUGUCUCUGUAGAGUCAUAAUAUCCAUAACAACUAGAGGUCAAACAGGGAGAUGGUUCCAUUCAUUUUCCCCACAGGGCUGUGUUUUGUUUAGACUCACCCUGGUGUGAUGUUUUGAUAACCAUGUAAACCUCUCUGGGACAAGGUGACUGAGGACACAGUGUGUUGUGAAUUUAUUGUCAUGUUUUUAAAGUGGUAAAAUGUCCUAUUUAUCAAAUGUGCUUUUGGCUGGAGUCAAAAUGACUCCAAAGGAUUUGAAUUUGUUAAAAGUCCUUAUUGAUACAGAAACACUAAACCAUGAUUUAGAUGUAUUAAGAACAAGUUGAUUGACAAAGUCAUGAAACAGGAUGAAUUGAAUGAACCACAUUUUGGCUGUGAUAAAAGAUAUGCCUCUGGGGUCAAAAUGAUCCAUGUCAGAACUAUGGUUCAAUGUAAAUAUGUAGUGGGUCUAACGUUUGUUUUAAAUUAUCACUCAUUAAAAACGAAUCAAUCAACACAUCCUUUUCUUUGAACGACUUAAAUAUGAUAAUCAACUUUAAUGAAAUAAAUUAAAAAAUAAACUUUUGGUUCCUCAACUGCGUUGCCCCUCCAGUCAGCAGAUGGCGAUGUGCGUCUUUUACGUUCAGGCGACGCUGCCAGUGUGACGUAUAAUCUAGUGGACGGGACGCUCCUUCAACAACAACAGUUAGACACCUCGGUAGCUUUAUAGCAAACAUAGCUACAACAUUCACUCUCUUUACACUGUUUUGGUGUAUGUUAGUCGCUGUGUAUUAAACAUACUUCUGUCGUAUGUACGUGUUGGCCCAUUUAAUUAUAUAUUUACGUUGUUUGUCAGCUAGCUGGUUUGCUAAAUUAGCUUAGAACUAGGCUAGUUGCUAAUGCUAGCUAGCGAACAUCUCCGACCAUGAGUUCACUAAGCUACUCUCCUCCUGCUAAAGAAGAGGAGGUCUUCUGGACGGAGAAAGAAGCUCUCCUGAAAGAGGAGGAGGAAGGGAAGGAUGUUUCAAUACAAAAACAAGUAGAGGGUGAGGCUGUUACCGUGAAAGAAGAAGAGAAAGACGUUUCAGUGAAAGAAAAGGAAGACUCGUUCAGAGUGAAAGAGGAGGAGGAUGUUACAGUAAAAGAAGAGGAAGCGGAGAGAGAGGAGGGUGCAGUUUAUGGAGUGAAAGAGGAGGAGGGGGAGAUGACUGUCACAUCGAAAAAGGAGGAGGAGGACGAAGAGGAGGAAACUGGAUAUCUGGGCCCGGUUUCCCCAACGCAUCUUAAGGCAUCCUAUGGUUCCAACGGUGAACUCAGCCGUAAGAUGGUUUUGAGAAACCGGGCCGUGAUUAACACUAGUAAGUACUGUCUUAAAAACAGAGGCACAAACUCUGCAGUUGUUGAACUGAUGUGUGGUGUUAAAGGGGAAAUAUGCAAUUGCUACAUUUAUAUUAUUUAUAGCCAUUGAUUCUUGAAGAAUAUAACACAAACCUCAUGAGCUUAGUUCAGCUGUUGUACCCCAUCAGAACCCCAAAUAAGAUUUUAUUUCAUGAUAUCAAUGAAUUAAUGUCACAAUGUAGAAUGUUUAAACAUUGCAGAAGGAGUAUUUUAAUGAUGUCACAAUGUAGAAUGUUUAAACAUAGUAGGAGUAUUUUAAUGAUGUCACAAUGUAGAAUGUUUAAACAUUGUAGUAGGAGUAUUUUAAUGAUGUCACAAUGUAGAAUGUUUAAACAUUGUAGAAGGAGUAUUUUAAUGAUGUCACAAUGUAGAAUGUAUAAACAUUGUAGAAGGAGUAUUUUAAUGAUGUCACAAUGUAGAAUGUUUUAACAUUGCAGAAGGAGUAUUUUAAUGAUGUCACAAUGUAGAAUGUUUAAACAUUGUAGAAGGAGUAUUUUAAUGAUGUCACAAUGUAGAAUGUUUAAACAUUGUAGAAGGAGUAUUUUAAUGAUGUCACAAUGUAGAAUGUUUAAACAUUGUAGUAGGAGUAUUUUAAUGAUGUCACAAUGUAGAAUGUUUAAACAUUGUAGUAGGAGUAUUUUAAUGAUGUCACAAUGUAGAAUGUUUUAACAUUGUAGUAGGAGUAUUUUAAUGAUGUCACAAUGUAGAACACUAAACGUUUGCCCCCUGUUCAAUUGAUUUCUGCAUAAUAUGGAUAUUAGCCUCAGGGGGGAAAUCCAGGCUCUGAAUGUAAAGAGUGAUAUUUAUAUGAUAUAACAGAAAGUGACUAACACAAAAAGAGCUGUGUUACACUUACAGCAUUGGUGACCCACUGGAAUCAAAAUGUAGCUAGAUGUUUUCUACAAGUUGUCCUCUAACCAGUGAUGUACACAUUAUUCCCAGAUUCCAUGUGGUUUUUGAGCUGUUAGUUUUAACAGGACAAACUCAUCUCCAGACUCUCACACAAAUGAUUUCAACAUGAUAUCGAUGAGGGAUGAAAAAUAAGUGUUGCGUUCCUUUGUUUAACGACCUCUAAAUGUAAAUGCAUCUCUCCAAAAUGUAGCUGACUGUCUUCUGCAGGUUGUCCUCUAACCAGGGAGGUAAAAUAUAUCUCCCAUUUCCAUGUGUUUUUUUAGUUGUGUUAGUUUCAACAGCACCAACAACCUGAUUUCCCCCUAAUUGAUAUCAGUGAUUUAUUGAUACUUGUCAAAACAACAGUGUUUCUGGUGCUCCUGCAUUUUAAAAGGUGCUUGUUUAAGUAAUAUGAUUAUUGUUGCAGAUGUUUGUGCAGAUGGUACAUUUUAUGUUUAGGUUUUCAAUAUCACAAAUGGUUUCUGCAUAUUGGUUAUUGAUUUGGACACAUUAAAGCUGUGUUUUGACAUUGGGCUGAA
Molecule: long non-coding RNA, 4089 nt
Organism: Oncorhynchus nerka (sockeye salmon)
Lineage: Eukaryota; Metazoa; Chordata; Actinopteri; Salmoniformes; Salmonidae
Exons: 2
Source: RefSeq, a predicted model, not a curated record